RNAcentral lists this ribosomal RNA (377 nucleotides) under Deiphobe sp. MN265. Its description in RNAcentral is "partial 12S ribosomal RNA". The record is from RNAcentral. Lineage: Eukaryota; Metazoa; Arthropoda; Insecta; Mantodea; Mantidae.
AGAUACCCUAUUAUUUUUAUUGUAAAAAUUAAAACCUGAGUAUUAGUAGCUAUGAUCUUGAAACUUAAAGAAUUUGGCGGUAUUAUAGUCUAUUUAGAGGAAUCUGUUAUGUAAUCGAUAAUCCGCGAUGAACCUUACUUAUAUUAUUUCUUGUAUACCGCUGUUUUUGAAUAUAUUUAUAGAUGUAAUUUUCUUAAUAUAAUAGUAAAUAAUAUUUCAAGUCAAGGUGCAGUAAUAUAUAAGUUGAAUAAUGGAUUACAAUAAAUUUUAUUUAUAAUGGAUUAUUAAUUUAAAUUUAAUAUGAAGGUGGAUUUAAUUGUAAUUUUUUGAAGAUUGUAGAAAUGAUUUUUAGCUCUAUAAUAUGUACACAUCGCCCG